Long non-coding RNA from Tupaia belangeri chinensis (Chinese tree shrew), 1073 nucleotides. RefSeq lists it as uncharacterized. Lineage: Eukaryota; Metazoa; Chordata; Mammalia; Scandentia; Tupaiidae. The transcript has 3 exons. The record is from RefSeq and is a predicted model, not a curated record.
GUCCAGGAUUAAGAAAAUGAAUUCAUUUUUGCUUUCCUUCAGUUGUCCUGAAUAUCCCCAACAUGAUUCUAGUAAUAUUUCUCUGCAGUUCACUGUGUAGCAUCUGUAUGUCUUCACAAAUCAUUGACACUCAUGAAGGGAUUCAUAUCAUUUGAGGAUGUUGCCAUGGACUUUACCUGAGAGGAGUGGCAGGACCUGGAAGAUGCUCAGAAGAUUCUAUACAAGGAUGUGAUGCUGGAGACCUACAGCAACCUGAUGUUUUUGGGUUAGUGGAUCUCCCAUGAAGCUCUCUGAAGUAAUUACUGUCUCCUUUCAUAGUAAAUGUACAAGGGUUUCAUAAUGUUUAAUCCUGUUUAGGAAUCAGAUUUUACUCCGUGGUUAAUGUUAGUGACACUCCUCUUUAAGAAAAUGCCCAAAUCAGCCCCUUUAUUGCACAGCACAGCUGAUAAAGCUGAGCCAUUGUUACUCUUCAAAUAGGUUACAUGAAUAGUUUGGCAAAAUUCCACACUGCUUUUAUUUACAGGACAGUGCAUUGCCAAACCGGCAGUGAUAUUCAAGUUAGAGCAAGGAGGAGAUCCAUGGACAUUAGGAGAACUUCCCAGCUUGAACCUCCCAGGUUAGUCAGUGCAUAGUUUUCAGGGACUAGUGUAAUGCAUUUUCUUUUAAAGAAUUUAUAUUUCAUUGAGAGGGGAAAACAAAAUGUUAGUACUGGUGAACUUAGAAAAAUGUAGAAAUGCUUUCCUGGGAUAAGAGUGUGAAAAAAUGGGUAUAUAUUUUUUAAAGCAUCCUAUGGGAUGACAUACUUAGGGUAAUUAGUAUGUAUUUUUAUUGGCUACAAGUCCUUUCUAAGUAACAUUUCUUCUUAAGUGACAAGUGUUUUUUGACUUCUGCAAAUAGAUGAUCUAGAAAACUGUUGACAUUAGCAAAGAAACAGUACACAAUACACAGUGUUAUAAGAAAGGAAAGUGAAAAAGGACAGGGAAAACAAAUGAUGCAUGGAAAUCUUUCAGUGUAAAAUUAUAGGAAGACAGGAGGUAGAUAUUUUGAAUAUUGUUAAAGGUAUUAAAGGAAAG